Molecule: long non-coding RNA, 224 nt
Filed under: Elaeis guineensis (African oil palm)
Lineage: Eukaryota; Viridiplantae; Streptophyta; Magnoliopsida; Arecales; Arecaceae
Description: long non-coding RNA (EGUI_LNC080656)
Source: RNAcentral
AAUGAUCAUUUCAAUAUCUUCUACACAAUGAAGUAUGGCAGGAAACACAUCUGCAAAGCUGUGAAACGUUACAGAACAGUAUUUUUCUGAUGAUAGAAAGGAUGAAAAAAAAUGUUUUUGAGUUAAAUUCAUAGGCAAAAAUAUACGAUUCAUCACCAGGAACAGAUAACAGGGUAAAAAGGAGAACUAAAAACUUUUACAAUGACAGUCAACAUCCACAGGCA